Molecule: ribosomal RNA, 498 nt
Filed under: uncultured bacterium
Lineage: Bacteria
Description: partial 16S ribosomal RNA
Rfam family: Bacterial small subunit ribosomal RNA
Source: RNAcentral
AUUGAACGCUGGCGGCAUGCUUUACACAUGCAAGUCGAACGGUAACAGGUCUUCGGAUGCUGACGAGUGGCGAACGGGUGAGUAAUACAUCGGAACGUGCCUAGUAGUGGGGGAUAACUACUCGAAAGAGUAGCUAAUACCCCAUGAGAUCUACUGAUGAACGACGGGGACCUUCGGGCCUUGCGCUACUAUAGCGGCUGCUGGCAGAUUAGGUAGUUGGUGGGGUAAAGGCUUACCAAGCCUGCGAUCUGUAGCUGGUCUGAGAGGACGACCAGCCACACUGGGACUGAGACACGGCCCAGACUCCUACGGGAGGCAGCAGUGGGGAAUUUUGGACAAUGGGCGAAAGCCUGAUCCAGCAAUGCCGCGCGCAGGAUGAAGGCCCUCGGGUUGUAAACUGCUUUUGUACGGAACGAAAAGCCUGGGGCUAAUAUCCCCGGGUCAUGACGGUACCGUAAGAAUAAGCACCGGCUAACUACGUGCCAGCCGCCGCCGUAA